RNAcentral lists this long non-coding RNA (1056 nucleotides) under Astyanax mexicanus (Mexican tetra). RNAcentral's name for it is "lncRNA (ENSAMXG00005002058.1)". Lineage: Eukaryota; Metazoa; Chordata; Actinopteri; Characiformes; Acestrorhamphidae. The record is from RNAcentral.
CUAAAUGUUUCUUGGUUUCUUUCAUUCAGAAAAUAGGUGAACGAAGGCAGAGAUUGAGUUUGGUCCUUGAGCCAGUUAAAGUUUUCAGAUGGUCAGUUGCAGAGGAGAAGAUUUUUGACUUCACAGCCAUUCCAGGUGUUUAAAUAACUGGCUUUCAGUUUGUUUAAAUUGUCUGUUUCAAAUUGGUACACUUGCAGUAUGCUAAUUAGUGUUUUUCUUAUUCCACAGGAUUUGGUGGCAUUUGCAGGUGUCAAUGACAUGGCCAGUGAAGUAUUUUCAUUACAGCUGGCCAUGUCACCAACACCAAUGUUAAGCACUUUGACUGGCACUCUGGAGGUAAAUGGGAUUUCUGAGUCCUGUACAUUGUACGUUCUAUGGAUGUCAGGAGAUGAUGUACAGGAAAUACUGUCAAAUGAGCAAGAUUCGUCUACUUCAUGUGGGAAUGAAUCUUUGCUAUCCACUUCCAGAUCUCUUCUCUCCACGGUUCCUACACCCUCCAUAACUACCAAUACUAACAUGUGUCCUCUAGACAUUGAGUCUCAGACCUCGACAACUUCACUGCCUCCCCUACUGACCUCCCCCACUCACAGUCUUUGCCUUCCUCCAGACACUGUACUCCAGCCCUCUACAACUCUUAGCAUUUUCCCUCCUAUACCCCUUGGGCCCCUCACCUCUACCACUCACAACAUUCGCCUUCCUCCAGACGCUAUACCACCCAUCACCUCCACUCACAGUAUAGUUCCUUCUCCAGACACUAUGGCCCUGACCUCCCCCGCUCGAAGCAUUUCUCCUCCUCUGUACAUUGCAACCCCAGCCACCCCCACUCACAGCAUUUCCUCUCCUCUUGAGCCUGUACCCAUCUUAAGUCCCACACUUGAGGUAGACCAUGAUCUGGAUGAUCACUUCAUGUCAGAUGGCUCUGCGAACAGGGAGGUACAGAAUUGCUGGCAGGAUGAUGGCUGUGUGUCUCCUGCAUGGAGGUGUUGCACCAAAUUGCUUUUCUCAAAGAACGUACAACAUGGUGGCAGGAAGACCUAAUCACCCGGUAAAAUUAAA